GAUAAACGCUGGCGGCGUGCCUAAUACAUGCAAGUCGAGCGAACGGACGAGAAGCUUGCUUCUCUGAUGUUAGCGGCGGACGGGUGAGUAACACGUGGAUAACCUACCUAUAAGACUGGGAUAACUUCGGGAAACCGGAGCUAAUACCGGAUAAUAUUUUGAACCGCAUGGUUCAAAAGUGAAAGACGGUCUUGCUGUCACUUAUAGAUGGAUCCGCGCUGCAUUAGCUAGUUGGUAAGGUAACGGCUUACCAAGGCAACGAUGCAUAGCCGACCUGAGAGGGUGAUCGGCCACACUGGAACUGAGACACGGUCCAGACUCCUACGGGAGGCAGCAGUAGGGAAUCUUCCGCAAUGGGCGAAAGCCUGACGGAGCAACGCCGCGUGAGUGAUGAAGGUCUUCGGGUCGUAAAACUCUGUUAUUAGGGAAGAACAUAUGUGUAAGUAACUGUGCACAUCUUGACGGUACCUAAUCAGAAAGCCACGGCUAACUACGUGCCAGCAGCCGCGGUAAUACGUAGGUGGCAAGCGUUAUCCGGAAUUAUUGGGCGUAAAGCGCGCGUAGGCGGUUUUUUAAGUCUGAUGUGAAAGCCCACGGCUCACCCGUGGAGGGUCAUUGGAAACUGGAAAACUUGAGUGCAGAAGAGGAAAGUGGAAUUCCAUGUGUAGCGGUGAAAUGCGCAGAGAUAUGGAGGAACACCAGUGGCGAAGGCGACUUUCUGGUCUGUAACUGACGCUGAUGUGCGAAAGCGUGGGGAUCAAACAGGAUUAGAUACCCUGGUAGUCCACGCCGUAAACGAUGAGUGCUAAGUGUUAGGGGGUUUCCGCCCCUUAGUGCUGCAGCUAACGCAUUAAGCACUCCGCCUGGGGAGUACGACCGCAAGGUUGAAACUCAAAGGAAUUGACGGGGACCCGCACAAGCGGUGGAGCAUGUGGUUUAAUUCGAAGCAACGCGAAGAACCUUACCAAAUCUUGACAUCCUUUGACAACUCUAGAGAUAGAGCCUUCCCCUUCGGGGGACAAAGUGACAGGUGGUGCAUGGUUGUCGUCAGCUCGUGUCGUGAGAUGUUGGGUUAAGUCCCGCAACGAGCGCAACCCUUAAGCUUAGUUGCCAUCAUUAAGUUGGGCACUCUAAGUUGACUGCCGGUGACAAACCGGAGGAAGGUGGGGAUGACGUCAAAUCAUCAUGCCCCUUAUGAUUUGGGCUACACACGUGCUACAAUGGACAAUACAAAGGGCAGCGAAACCGCGAGGUCAAGCAAAUCCCAUAAAGUUGUUCUCAGUUCGGAUUGUAGUCUGCAACUCGACUACAUGAAGCUGGAAUCGCUAGUAAUCGUAGAUCAGCAUGCUACGGUGAAUACGUUCCCGGGUCU
Molecule: ribosomal RNA, 1372 nt
Filed under: uncultured bacterium
Lineage: Bacteria
Description: bacterial SSU rRNA
Rfam family: Bacterial small subunit ribosomal RNA
Source: RNAcentral